Molecule: non-coding RNA, 73 nt
Organism: Canis lupus familiaris (dog)
Lineage: Eukaryota; Metazoa; Chordata; Mammalia; Carnivora; Canidae
Source: Rfam
ACCUGGUUGGUUCAGUUGAUAGAGCAUGUGACUCUUGAUCUCAGGGUCAUGAGUUCAAGCCCCAUGUUGGGCA